CUUUCCAUGUUGCCAUCUAGUGCAGUGCAAGGAUCAACCUAGCAUUCGGUAUAAAACGCCCGCCUCGUGCCGAGUCUUGUGGAGGUCGCAUUUAGUAGAACUGACAUCAGAAAGUGGAACAAGCUAAGUUGCAAAUGGUGAAAUCACCAUUGAAUUGGAACCAAUAAUUUGAUUCGGCUGUAUAGGUAUCCUAAUUGAAAAUUGCACAUUUUUCUUCCAGAUCUGCAAAGUUGCAACUGAUCAGACCUCCUCAGCUCCAGGCAUGGGUGUGAAGGUCCUCAAGUGCUUCUCCUGGUACAGACGCUGUAAGGAACGAUGCAAGGCUAAACAGUGCCCCCCACCUGCAGUCCCCAGAGAGGAGAUGAAGCCUCGCCUGUCGUCUACGGUGUCGUGUGGUAGCCAGGGCGAGGGCGGUAGCAGCCUGAGUGGAUCCCAGAUCUACUUCUCCACCAAGGCUCGCCUCUCCUUUAGACACCAGAUGGACAGCAACUUCAACGCAGUGGACGCAACCUGCUGAGUAAGAGCAGCCUCGACAGCCUGGGUAGUGUUCAUUAGGCAUCAAAUGGAAGAAUAAAGACUGAAUCAGGGAGGGACUACCUGGGCUUGUCCAAUCAUCAUCAUCACCACCCCGAAAAAAUGAACUCUCACCCCUCCACUAUGGCAGCCAUUAUUCUAGCUCAACAGAACGGGGAAUGGGGCAGAAUGUGAAGGACUGAGACUUCACCUACUCAGUGGUGCAUAAAUACAUCGUUCUCAACUCUCCCUUCAGGGAUGACUGUGAGAGGAGGAAUAUAAUCACAGCAGAUUGAGUUCUUCACUACAGAGAAAGACUAAGUGCACUGCUAAUGUAGCUAGUGGAGGUGGAGAAAUGUAAUGGAGAAAUGUUUACAACGUUAUCAUACUAACUGCAUUAUUUUCCUUUUGUUUUUCUGCCCACCCUUUUUAUUUCUACGUUCCUUUUUUCCAAUGUGUGUGUUGGGGUGUAAAUUACUGGGUUGGUUUGGUCUAGGGCCAGGUAAAAGACCACAAACUGCAAACAAUAGUGUCUUUAAAAUACUAGCUGGUGAAUAUGAUUUGUAUGAGUUAGGGAUCCCCAUUAGCUGCUACCAAGGCAGCAGCUACUCUUCCUGGAGUCCAAACACAUUAAGGCACUUAAAUCACACACAAAAGAUAAAACGGUACAUCAUAUAACAUUAUUACACAAAUACAUACCUACAAUGCAAAAUGUAUAAUACCACCAUACAACAAUAUUACAAUGUACGUGUGUGGAGUGCAUGCGUAAGAAUGUAAGCACUCCCAACUUUAAAUACAGGCUUUUUUUUUAAAUAUCCUGACAGUGUCCUCACCUGCUGAGAAAAACAUGGUAACUAGAUCUGAUCGGAGUAGCUGAUAAAGACAUUAAUGAGUUUCAGAGUUUGUGCCUUUCUUUUAACUUAAUUUAAACAUUUCCAAAGCUCUGACGAAGGCCUCGAGGCCGAUACGUAAAGCUUAAUAAUGAGCAGUGUGCGGGUUUCUUCUGUUUUCCCCCCUCACUUUAUUCAGCGGUUACCAUGCACCUGCAACAAAGAUAGCUCAGAUGUGCGAGAGUGCCUUUUGAAACAUUUCCAAAGCGAAAUGAAUUUUGGUGCCAGCAAUCUUCUAGUAGUGCCCUGCCUAACUGACUGAGUCUACACUUUAUUUGGCAGCAAUGCCCUCUCCAUCUUACAUCCAGCUUUUACCUUGACUGACUUCUCAUGAAAUCUUCUGGGGAACAUCAAUGAAGUUCAUGAACAGAUGCUUCACAUACUAGUUUAAGGGCAUGUCAUUCCCCCCCCCCCCCCCCCCACUUCUAAUUGUGUUGUGUUUGUAGAAAUCUAAGUUCUAGAUACAAAUUGAGAAAUAGUUGUAUGAGUGAUGAGGUAAUAGCAUCUCACUGACACCACUUCUGGGGGUUUGGUGAGAAGAAUGUACAGGGCUUCAAAGUAUUCACACUCCUGGACUUUUUCCACAUUUUGUUGUUACGGCCUGAAUCUAAAAUUACAUGUAGAUUUGGGGUCAAUGGUCUACACACAAUACCCCAUAAUGUCAAAAUGGAUUUAUGAAUUAAAAAUGAAAAGCUGAA
Oncorhynchus mykiss (rainbow trout) is the source of this 2101-nucleotide long non-coding RNA. RefSeq lists it as uncharacterized. Lineage: Eukaryota; Metazoa; Chordata; Actinopteri; Salmoniformes; Salmonidae. The record is from RefSeq and is a predicted model, not a curated record.